This 460-nucleotide ribosomal RNA is filed under the name uncultured bacterium. RNAcentral describes it as "partial 16S ribosomal RNA". It matches the Rfam family "Bacterial small subunit ribosomal RNA", at positions 338 to 795 of the family's 1533-position model. The record is from RNAcentral.
CCUACGGGCGGCAGCAGUGAGGAAUAUUGGUCAAUGGACGAGAGUCUGAACCAGCCAAGUAGCGUGAAGGAUGACUGCCCUAUGGGUUGUAAACUUCUUUUAUAUGGGAAUAAAAUGUUCCACGUGUGGGAUUUUGUAUGUACCAUAUGAAUAAGGAUCGGCUAACUCCGUGCCAGCAGCCGCGGUAAUACGGAGGAUCCGAGCGUUAUCCGGAUUUAUUGGGUUUAAAGGGAGCGUAGGUGGAUUGUUAAGUCAGUUGUGAAAGUUUGCGGCUCAACCGUAAAAUUGCAGUUGAAACUGGCAGUCGUGAGUACAGUAGCGGUGGGCGGAAUUCGUGGUGUAGCGGUGAAAUGCUUAGAUAUCACGAAGAACUCCGAUUGCGAAGGCAGCUCACUGGACUGCAACUGACACUGAGGCUCGAAAGUGUGGGUAUCAAACAGGAUUAGAUACCCCAGUAGUC